This 406-nucleotide ribosomal RNA is filed under the name uncultured bacterium. RNAcentral's name for it is "partial 16S ribosomal RNA". It matches the Rfam family "Bacterial small subunit ribosomal RNA", at positions 29 to 526 of the family's 1533-position model. The record is from RNAcentral.
AUUGAACGCUGGCGGCAGGCCUAACACAUGCAAGUCGAGCGAGCGGCGGACGGGUGCGUAAUGUCUGGGAAACUGCCUGCUGGCGGGGGAUAACUACUGGAAACGGUAGCUAAUACCGCAUACCCUCAGAUGUGCCCCGAUGGGAUUAGCCAGUAGGUGGGGUAACGGCUCACCUAGGCGACGAUCCCUAGCUGGUCUGAGAGGAUGACCAGCAAAACGGGAACGAUGACAGGGUCCAGACGCCUACGGGAGGCAGCAGUGGGGAAGAUUGCACAAUGGGCGAAAGCCUGAGGCAGCAAUGCCGGGGGUGUGAAGAAGGCAUUCGGGUUGUAAAGCACUUUAAGCGGGGAGGCGUUACCCGCAGAAGAAGCACCGGCUAACUCCGUGCCAGCAGCCGCGGUGAUUC